UACGUAGGGUGCAAGCGUUAUCCGGAAUUAUUGGGCGUAAAGAGCUCGUAGGCGGUUUGUCGCGUCUGCUGUGAAAACUGGAGGCUCAACCUCCAGCCUGCAGUGGGUACGGGCAGACUAGAGUGCGGUAGGGGAGAUUGGAAUUCCUGGUGUAGCGGUGGAAUGCGCAGAUAUCAGGAGGAACACCGAUGGCGAAGGCAGAUCUCUGGGCCGUAACUGACGCUGAGGAGUGAAAGCAUGGGGAGCGAACAGG
RNAcentral lists this ribosomal RNA (253 nucleotides) under uncultured bacterium. RNAcentral's name for it is "partial 16S ribosomal RNA". It matches the Rfam family "Bacterial small subunit ribosomal RNA", at positions 524 to 776 of the family's 1533-position model. The record is from RNAcentral.